CUACCAAUUAAAAUGGUAUUACAUGCAGUUGCAUGCAAUACAGCAGACAAUCUCUGUUGCUGGUGAGUAUAUUAACACACAGACUUUUGUUGCACAUGCUGCUGAUUGCAUGUAUAGGUAAUUCAACCUCUCCAUUAAACCCAAGAAUAUCAUAUCCCCCACUCAAAACCAGCUCAGCUCCCUCCUCUAUACUGGUGGUGUGUCUGUCAGCUAUAUCCUCGUCAUUUCUCCAACACCUCUCUCCGGAUCACUAGUCACCGUGGAGACCACCUCGGCACCGUUCAAUAUCUCCAACAUUCCCUGUUGGACAUGACCAUCAGACAUGACCAUCAGAGUAGUUAACUGUGCAAUGGCCGUGACAACAUGCAUGUUACCUGCCCCUCCAACCCCAACACCUGCGAACAGAGUGACUAUCAAUGGUUGUGAAAGACUAUAUGUUUCUUAGUUGGUUAUUGUUUGUGCUUUUGUUCGUUAUUGUACUGUUCAUGUAUGCCAGGCAAGGAUUCUUGCCUUAGCUUGAUUAUAGCUGUUAUAGUGUUAAAUAGACUACAUUCACUUAUUUGGUAUGUUGUGCAAUAGUAUACGACUGUACACCCAAGGUGUUAAUCCCUCUCUCCUACCCUGUAAGAUCCCGUCACACCAGUUUUAGAACCUGACAAACAGGAAGUGUUCAGGAGUGUAUAAAAGGACAGUGUGUUAGAUUUUGAGUUUUAGUUGUUUUUGUGAUGUUAAAGUUUAUGCGAUGUUGUGGAAUUGAUGUUGUUAAAUGAAGAUUGUUGAAUUGAA
Molecule: long non-coding RNA, 786 nt
Organism: Halichondria panicea
Lineage: Eukaryota; Metazoa; Porifera; Demospongiae; Suberitida; Halichondriidae
Exons: 2
Source: RefSeq, a predicted model, not a curated record